This 285-nucleotide ribosomal RNA is filed under the name uncultured Aquiflexum sp. RNAcentral's name for it is "partial 16S ribosomal RNA". It matches the Rfam family "Bacterial small subunit ribosomal RNA", at positions 1098 to 1382 of the family's 1533-position model. Lineage: Bacteria; Pseudomonadati; Bacteroidota; Cytophagia; Cytophagales; Cyclobacteriaceae. The record is from RNAcentral.
AACCCCUCGUUAUCAGUUGCCAUCGGGUAGAGCCGGGGACGUCUGAUAAGACUGCCUGCGCAAGCAGAGAGGAAGGAGGGACGACGUCAAGUCAUCAUGGCCCUUACGCCCAGGGCGACACACGUGCUACAAUGGCGCAUACAGCGGGUAGCUACCUGGCAACAGGAUGCCAACCUCUAAAAGUGCGUCUCAGUUCGGAUUGGGGUCUGCAACCCGACCCCAUGAAGCUGGAAUCGCUAGUAAUCGCGCAUCAGCCAUGGCGCGGUGAAUACGUUCCCGGACCUU